GCUGGAGUACGGUAGGGGCAGAUGGCAUUUCCGGUUACGCGGUGAAAUGCGUAGAGAUCGGAAAGAACACCAACGUUCCCCGUGACACUGAGAGACGAAAGCUAGGGGAGUAGUCCUAGCCGUAAACGAUGGAUACUAGGCGCUGUGCGUAUCGACCCGUGCAGUGCUGUAGCUAACGCGUGAAGUAUCCCGCCUGGGUGGGCUGGGGAGUACGUUCGCAAGAAGGAAACUAAAAGGAAUGGACGGGGGCCUGUUUUCUUUGGUUUCAUUCGAUGCAAAGCGAAGAACCUUACCACUC
Molecule: ribosomal RNA, 298 nt
Filed under: Rafflesia zollingeriana
Lineage: Eukaryota; Viridiplantae; Streptophyta; Magnoliopsida; Malpighiales; Rafflesiaceae
Description: partial 16S ribosomal RNA
Rfam family: Bacterial small subunit ribosomal RNA
Source: RNAcentral